AGAUUGAACGCUGGCGGCAUGCUUUACACAUGCAAGUCGAACGGCAGCACGGGUGCUUGCACUUGAUGGCGAGUGGCGAACGGGUGAGUAAUACAUCGGAACGUGUCCUGAAGUGGGGGGAUAACGCAUCGAAAGAUGUGCUAAUACCGCAUAUUCUCUGAGGAGGAAAGUAGGGGAUCGAAAGACCUUAUGCUUUUGGAGCGGCCGAUGUCUGAUUAGCUAGUUGGUGGGGUAAUGGCCUACCAAGGCGACGAUCAGUAGUUGGUCUGAGAGGACGACCAGCCACACUGGGACUGAGACACGGCCCAGACUCUACGGGAGCAGCAGUAGGGAAUUUGGACAAGUGGGCGCAAGCCUGAUCCAGCAAUGCCGCGUGAGUGAAGAGGCCGUUCGGUUGUAAAGCGUCUUCUAGUUGAAGAAGAAAGGACGUAGACUAAUAAUUAUGUCAUGAGUAUAC
Molecule: ribosomal RNA, 457 nt
Filed under: uncultured soil bacterium
Lineage: Bacteria
Description: bacterial SSU rRNA
Rfam family: Bacterial small subunit ribosomal RNA
Source: RNAcentral